UGGGGAAUAUUGCACAAUGGGCGCAAGCCUGAUGCAGCCAUGCCGCGUAUAUGAAGAAGGCCUUCGGGUUGUAAAGUACUUUCAGCGGGGAGGAAGGUGUUGAGGCUAAUAACCUCAGCAAUUGACGUUACCCGCAGAAGAAGCACCGGCUAACUCCGUGCCAGCAGCCGCGGUAAUACGGAGGGUGCAAGCGUUAAUCGGAAUUACUGGGCGUAAAGCGCACGCAGGCGGUCUGUCAAGUCGGAUGUGAAAUCCCCGGGCUCAACCUGGGAACUGCAUUCGAAACUGGCAGGCUAGAGUCUUGUAGAGGGGGGUAGAAUUCCAGGUGUAGCGGUGAAAUGCGUAGAGAUCUGGAGGAAUACCGGUGGCGAAGGCGGCCCCCUGGACAAAGACUGACGCUCAGGUGCGAAAGCGUGGGGAGCAAACA
This 427-nucleotide ribosomal RNA is filed under the name uncultured bacterium. RNAcentral's name for it is "partial 16S ribosomal RNA". It matches the Rfam family "Bacterial small subunit ribosomal RNA", at positions 355 to 774 of the family's 1533-position model. The record is from RNAcentral.